AGGUUCUCCCGGUUUCGCAUCGCUUCAAAAUUGGAUAAGGAGAGUGGAGAGGAGGAAGAUGUCAUGGGAGCAGGCCUGCUAAUAAAGUUACAAUGAGUGGGAGGAGUCACAUUGGUAACUGACUCCAGAGGGAGAGUAACUGACAGCAGCCAUGACAGACACUGCCUGUGAGUUAUGCUAGAUGUUUCAUGAAUAAAGCAGUUAACAGAA
This is a long non-coding RNA of Spea bombifrons (plains spadefoot toad), 210 nucleotides long. RefSeq lists it as uncharacterized. NCBI's taxonomy places the organism in Eukaryota, Metazoa, Chordata, Amphibia, Anura, Pelobatidae. The transcript is spliced from 2 exons. The record is from RefSeq and is a predicted model, not a curated record.